This 345-nucleotide long non-coding RNA is filed under the name Brassica napus (rape). RNAcentral's name for it is "long non-coding RNA (BNAP_LNC020419)". Lineage: Eukaryota; Viridiplantae; Streptophyta; Magnoliopsida; Brassicales; Brassicaceae. The record is from RNAcentral.
CGUACCCCGGACUUGGACACCGUAAUGUUGGGUUCUUUUAUCUUGGCCAUGGCUAUGUGUGUGGAAGCAGUAUCCUCGUGAGAAAUAAACCGGCCAAGCUUUUUAAUUUUGUUUCGGGCCUUGUACGAAAUCCAACAUCCACAAUGGAAGCUGAUAUACCUUACUUGCUUCGUUAACCUGUUAAUUAAAAUUAUGUCAAUGAUAAAUUCACAUUGAUAAUCAAUUUAUAUCAAAAACUUACAUAGUUUCUCACCCAUUCCGCAUAGUGGUUGUCUUUUGCUAUUUGUAGAUCAUUACCACAUAUAUUUGGGUUGUUGUCCAUCAUAAACUCCUCAAACAUCCUGU